ACAAAGAAGCUAUAGACAGCCUUAAAGAAAGCAUUCAUUGGCUGAACAGUCAACAGCUGAGGAAGUGGUUUGACAAACAGUGGCUAUCAGUUUCACAUGUGAACAGUGUUGUUGCACAUUUGGAAGAGAUUAUGAACUGCACUAUACAAGACUAUGAAGAAGUUGAUCAUGCACGGCAUCAUCAGUUCAUAAAAAAUCCUUAUUUGAUGUACAAGGAGUUCACAAAAAAGUUCUGUUUUGGGAAGAAAUUUAUAAGCACAAGGGUUAUGGAGCAUCUACAAACAGUGCUCACAAAAAAAAUGGGUGACAGC
This is a long non-coding RNA of Saccostrea cuccullata (small rock oyster), 311 nucleotides long. RefSeq lists it as uncharacterized. The transcript has 4 exons. Lineage: Eukaryota; Metazoa; Mollusca; Bivalvia; Ostreida; Ostreidae. The record is from RefSeq and is a predicted model, not a curated record.